CCUCGGGCGGACAUGAAGUGGCGAACGGGUGAGUAACACGUGACCAACCUGCCCCUUGCUCCGGGACAACCCAGGGAAACCUCGGCUAAUACCGGAUACUCCGCGCAGCCCGCAUGGGAGGCGCGGGAAAGCCCAGACGGCAAGGGAUGGGGUCGCGGCCCAUUAGGUAGACGGCGGGGUAACGGCCCACCGUGCCCGCGAUGGGUAGCCGGGUUGAGAGACCGACCGGCCACAUUGGGACUGAGAUACGGCCCAGACUCCUACGGGAGGCAGCAGUGGGGAAUUUUGCGCAAUGGGGGAAACCCUGACGCAGCAACGCCGCGUGCGGGACGAAGGCCUUCGGGUUGUAAACCGCUUUCAGCAGGGAAUAUAGUGAAGGUACCUGCAGAAGAAGCUCCGGCUAACUACGUGCCAGCAGCCGCGGUAAUACGUAGGGAGCGAGCGUUAUCCGGAUUCAUUGGGCGUAAAGCGCGCGUAGGCGGCCCGUCAAGCGGGGUUUCAAAUCCAGGGGCUCAACCUCUGGCCGGACCCCGAACUGGCGGGCUCGAGUGCGGUAGAGGAAGGUGGAAUUCCCAGUGUAGCGGUGAAAUGCGCAGAUAUUGGGAAGAACACCGAUGGCGAAGGCAGCCUUCUGGGCCGCCACUGACGCUGAGGCGCGAAAGCUAGGGGAGCGAACAGGAUUAGAUACCCUGGUAGUCCUAGCCGUAAACGAUGGGCACUAGGUGUGGGGGAGCAUCUCCUCCGUGCCGCAGCCAACGCAUUAAGUGCCCCGCCUGGGGAGUACGGCCGCAAGGCUAAAACUCAAAGGAAU
This 811-nucleotide ribosomal RNA is filed under the name human gut metagenome. RNAcentral's name for it is "bacterial SSU rRNA". It matches the Rfam family "Bacterial small subunit ribosomal RNA", at positions 78 to 910 of the family's 1533-position model. The record is from RNAcentral.